GCGGGAAUAGCUCAGUGGUAGAGCACAACCUUGCCAAGGUUGGGGUCGCGGGUUCGAAUCCCGUUUCCCGCUCCA
RNAcentral lists this transfer RNA (75 nucleotides) under Candidatus Rokubacteria bacterium GWA2_70_23. Its description in RNAcentral is "tRNA-Gly". It matches the Rfam family "tRNA". Rfam says of the family: Transfer RNA (tRNA) molecules are approximately 80 nucleotides in length. Their secondary structure includes four short double-helical elements and three loops (D, anti-codon, and T loops). RNAcentral also lists the same sequence under 34 other names. Lineage: Bacteria; Candidatus Rokuibacteriota. The record is from RNAcentral.